AUUUAAGUCGUGCAGCACGACAGUCCAUUCCUGACAAGCAGUCCCUCGGACACGACGUAUUGUCCGGCAGUAUAAAUUGGCGCGUCGAAGACUGCCGGCGGUCAGUCUUCCCUCCGCCAGGCCAAAUCACCCACCAUGUCCAAGCUGUGCUGCCUGCUGCUGCUGCUGGCCGUCGCGCUGGCCUGCCUGGCCACGGCCGCCGACGCCAGAGGCCUCUUCGGCAAGAUGAUGAAGAAGGUGGCCUGCACGGCGGCCGGCCCCUUCAACGUCAUACUCCCGGUGGGGGGAGCCGCCUGUAUAUGACGAGCUAGGCCGCGAUCACGACAACGCCCGAGCCACACAAAGGACGCCGUCAACGCCAAAAAGAAUCAUUCGCCGCGAGUAAAACGUUUCCAAUCAGCCUUUCAUAGCCUCUGCUCUUUGUGCCGCCCUCCAGUUGAAACAUAAAAACCGGACCAGAUCGA
Thrips palmi is the source of this 464-nucleotide long non-coding RNA. RefSeq lists it as uncharacterized. The transcript has 2 exons. NCBI's taxonomy places the organism in Eukaryota, Metazoa, Arthropoda, Insecta, Thysanoptera, Thripidae. The record is from RefSeq and is a predicted model, not a curated record.